This 945-nucleotide ribosomal RNA is filed under the name Ustilago cynodontis. RNAcentral's name for it is "LSU rRNA". It matches the Rfam family "Eukaryotic large subunit ribosomal RNA", at positions 38 to 963 of the family's 3401-position model. Lineage: Eukaryota; Fungi; Basidiomycota; Ustilaginomycetes; Ustilaginales; Ustilaginaceae. The record is from RNAcentral.
GCAUAUCAAUAAGCGGAGGAAAAGAAACUAACAAGGAUUCCCCUAGUAACGGCGAGUGAAGAGGGAAGAGCCCAAGAUUGAAAGCUGGCGUCUUCGGCGUCCGCAUUGUAAUCUCGAGAAGUGUUUUCCGUUUCGGACCAUGCCUAAGUCUCUUGGAAAAGAGCAUCAUAGAGGGUGAUAAUCCCGUACAUGGCAUGGAGCGCCCGAGACUUUGUGAUACGCUUUCUACGAGUCGAGUUGUUUGGGAAUGCAGCUCAAAAUGGGUGGUAAAUGCCAUCUAAGGCUAAAUAUUGGGGAGAGACCGAUAGCGAACAAGUACAGUGAUGGAAAGAUGAAAAGAACUUUGAAAAGAGAGUUAAACAGUACGUGAAAUUGCCAAAAGGGAAGGGUAGGAGGUCAGAGAUGCGUUCUGGGAUUCAGCCUUGCUUUUGCUUGGUGUUUUUCCCAGAUGGCAGGCCAACGUCGGUUUUGGGCGCUGGAGAAGGGUGGAAGGAAUGUGGCACCUCUCGGGGUGUGUUAUAGCCUUCUAUUGGAUACAGUGACCGAGACCGAGGACAGCAGCGUACUCGCAAGAGCGGGCCUUCGGGCACCUUUACGCUUAGGGCGUUGGCAUAAUGGCCCUCUACCACCCGUCUUGAAACACGGACCAAGGAGUCUAACAUGUAUGCGAGUCUUUGGGUGGCAAACCCAUAGGCGCAAUGAAAGUGAAUUCAGGUGGGAUCCGCAAGGUGCACCAUCGACCGAUCCUCACGUCUUUUUAAGUCGUGGAUUUGAGUAAGAGCAUACCUGUUGGGACCCGAAAGAUGGUGAACUAUGCCUGAAUAGGGUGAAGCCAGAGGAAACUCUGGUGGAGGCUCGUAGCGGUUCUGACGUGCAAAUCGAUCGUCAAAUUUGGGUAUAGGGGGCGAAAGACUAAUCGAAGCAUCUAGUAGCUGGGUCUGCGAG